UCUUAUGGAGGCAUGAUUCUUUUUGGAGUUUCAAAUAACUACUUACACUUUUUUUGAUUUUGAUUUUGAUGAGAGUGAUAUGGGGUUGAAAAGAGAUUGGCACGGCUACAUGAAUGUCAGGUUGGGGGUUGUAGUUGAUCGGGUCACUAAGUCAAUGCAUUUUAUUGCUACUAAGAUGAGACAUACAUAUUGUAUUGUUUGGCGCGGUUGUAUGUUAGGGAGAUUGUUAGACUUCAUGGUGCACUUGUAUCAAUUGUGUCGGAUUGUGUCCCUGUUUUGUAUCUAAAAUUUGGAGUGCCAUACUGGCAGCGAUGGGUAUUUGUAUACUUUUUAGCUCUGCUUACCACCCUCAAACUAAUGGUCAGAUUGAGAGGACUAUAUUGACUUUGGAGGAUUUAUGGAGAGCAUGUACCUUAGAGUGGAAAGGAAAUUGGGAUUAUCAAUUGCCGUUGAUGGAAUUUGCAUACAAUAACAGUUAUCAUUCGAGUUUGGGAGUUGCUUCAUAUGAGGCUUUGUAUCGACGGAAGUGUAGAUCACCUAUCUGUUGCCUUAGAGUGGAAAGGAAAUUGGGAUUAUCACUUGUCGUUGAUGGAAUUUGCAUACAAUAACAUUUAUCAUUCGAGUUUGGGAGUUGCUCUAUAUGAGGCUUUGUAUAGACGGAAGUGUAGAUCACCUAUCUACUUGGGUGAGGUUCAAGAUCGGCGACUUUUUGGGCCUGACUUGGUUGAGGAUACAACUCAAAAGAUUCCACUGUUCGGGAAAGACUCGUAACAGCUCAGAGUGGACAAAAAAGUUAUGCGGACAAUCGUAGGAGGGAUUUGGAGUUUGCAAUAGGAGAUGUGGUGUCCCCAUAGAAAGGAGUUACUUGGUUUGGCAAAAAGAGAAAGUGAGUCCUCGCUAUAUUGGGCCAUUUGAGGUUUUGGAAAGGAUUGGUAAGGUGGCUUAUUGUUUUUGUGUUAUCGCAUAGUUUUGGCUAAUGUUCAUAAUAUUUUUCAUGUGUCGGUGUUGAAGAGGUAUGUGCAUAGUCCGUCCCAAGUUAUCGAUUACGAGCCACUUCAUAUUCAAGAAAAUUUAACCUAUGAUGAACAACCCGUUGAGAUUCUUGAUACAAAGGAAAAUGUGCUUCGCAACAAAACAAUUCUAUUGGUCAAAGUGUUGUGGCACAAUCAUGAGAUUGAAGAAGCUACAUGGGAGCAUGGCAAAGAGAUGCGCGUGAAGUACCCACAUUUGUAUGCAUGAAGUAAGUAAGUAAUUUCGAGGACGAAAUUUAUUUUAAGGGGGGAAGGAUUUACGAUCUAGCAUUUUUUUUUUAUGUAAUGUAAUUAUUUAUAUUGCCAUUUAUUAUUGGGUAUUAUGGUUGGGUCGUAAUUAUUUAUUUUUGUGCUUUUUAUGGGUAUUAUUGACACGAUUGUAAUUCUUGGAGUAUGAGAUUGAUUUUGGGUAAAAAGGUGGUACUGAAUGGUAAUUCUAUAAAUUUGUGUUUGGUUAGAUUGGAUUUUAGGUAAUUUAUUUUUCUUACUUAUCUACAUAAAUUCUAAUAACCUGAUUAGCUAUAAUCGUGGGAGACGUGGGUUAGUGCUUCAGUUUACAUAUUCCUAUAUAUGUUUAAGAGUUAGGGUUUAGUUCUUACAACGACUCUUGUAGGUUGAACAACUUCUCCUUGAACAGGGCAGUUUACCCACCAUUCUCACUAUCUCUCUCUCUCUCUCUCUCUCUCUCUGGUCUGAAAAAUCCUGUUAGGCUCCCUCUGUUGUAUUUAUGCAUCCAUUCCCAUUUUUUGAGAGUGGUAUUUUUGUUUCACGGCCAUUUCAAAGGUUAGAUGGUUAUUCUUGCUUCAAUUUCACCAUUAGUUUACUUUUUAUGUUUCCCAAUUGUUUUGCGAUGAAGACAGAAGAUCCCCAUGCAAACUUAUGAAAGGAGUCCUUAUGAUUUUGGCUACUAACUAUUCUAUACAAUCUUCCAAUGACAGCGAAAAAACUCUCCUUAUCCAAUUCAUGACAAUUGCUUAUAAAUGCUCUAAUUCAUGAAUGAUUAUACUUUCACAAUUUAUUAUUUCCAUUAAAUGCAUUUUGCCCCCUUUUCCUUGUCCCUUCUUUUCAUCGAAUUUUAAUGUUAUAAAUUUAAAAGUUUCCUCUUAUGCAAAUGUUCCUGUAAGUAGUUUAGGAAUUGCAACUUUGAGUUGUAAUGGAUGACCUCUCAUAUGAAAGCGUAGGACCAUUUGAACCUUCUAUUUUUACCAUUUUGAGUUGUUUACAUUUUUUCUUUUACUUUUUUGAAAAGCAUUUUGGGUUAUUUACUUGAUCUUUGGUCCAUGUUGACCAUUACUGUUUCUGCGGCACACAUGAUGCACGUGCAUAUUGUACCAAAUGAAAUAGAACAAUAUCUUAAACUAAAAACCAAAAUGAGUAAUAAUAGUAUUCAAAUGAGCAAUAUCACUAUCUAUCUAUACAAAUAAUAGGGUACAAACCUGCGUACUCCAAUGACAUUGACACAUCAUUUUGAAGAAGACACUAAAAUGGAAUCUCCCUUUAAUUAUUUGUCCCCUAAUUUGUCAUUUGCAUAUUUGGUAUUAACUAUUGAACUUACUCUAGCUACAGCCAUUGAAUUCUCCUUUCAUGCUUCAUUUCGUCUAUAAAAAGUCUACUUCUCCAUACCAAAAGCUUGUUUACAUUCAAAAGUUUUAAGUUUCUGACCAAUUGUCUUGUCCCAUAAGGCGAGAAAUGUGAGAAGCUAGAAUUGAGAGGACUCACCGAAGACCAAAAAGCUCUGGCGUUGAAGUUUUGGAAUUCAAUGAGAGGAAUGAUGGAUAAUUUGGUCUCAAAUCCUCCUUCAAGUAAUUAGUUUUGGAAAACCAAAAUCCAGCUGACAAACUGGACUGACAUUCUGGAACAAGAUGGAAAUAGAAGAGAAUUGAAGAAUAGUAUGAAGUCUUCGGCAGGUUGAAUUUAAGGCUGUCUCUCCAUAUCCUGACAGGGAUGGAGAGACAGCUUGGAACUGUUCUGAUCAGCGUGGAGCUGUACAUCUUUGUUUAGUAGGGUUUUAGAUAUAUCCAUUUGAUUAGCUACUUAUAACAAGAAAUUUGAAAUCGGUUGGAAUAGCUACCUACAAAAGACUAAAUGGGAUAUAGCAUAUUCUUUGCAAAAUUCUGAGAACUAAAAAGAACUCUAUUUUAAAUAUAUUAUCCUGUGUUGUUUUUGUGUUGUACUACCAUCCUUUAUGCCCCUAGUACCUAAAAAAAGCAGUCUUCACUGGUCCUGAACUGGAUACGGUUAUGGCUCAGAAGUCAAAUAUGUUCACGUGUUUAGCCGGUGAAUUUUGUAUUCACAGUCUCGUGAAAAGUAGUUGGGACAUCGUAUUGCUAAUGUAUGCGAUAUGUCAUCCUUAGAAGUAAUACACGAAUUGGAUCCAUCAAUGUGGGAAGUCCUUUUUAUUGAAGCAAAGUGAGUUUUAUAUGUUUCUGCGGAUUCAUUGUAGUUCAUGUGUCAAUAAGUCACCAUUUUUAUUUUGGAUCAGCCAUAAGCUCCUGCUAUAAUUAGUUUGGAGUCCACGAUUUUCAAUUUUGAAAGACAAUCAGUCAAUACUUACCAAAAGUCUGCUGAAUAAUUAUUCUACUAGCAAUUUGAGUUCAGUUUUUUUGUAUCACCUCUAAAUGCCUUGGAAUGUUUUAUCUUGUGUAACUUCUCCCUGACAAUCUCACACACAGGGACAUCAGACUCGUCCAGCUAGUGAGUUCUUGAUCUGGUAGUGUUUAGUCCGCUACUUUUGUUUUAUGUCAUAUUUUAGUUUGGUAGUUUCUCUAACCAAUUCUGGAAACAAAUAGCAUCACCAGGUGGUAUUAUGUCACCUUCUAGUCUCUACCAAGUACUCUCCACAUCCAUGAUCUUAUUGGGGUUAGGCUGUUAGUGAUUUCAUGUUCACAUCCUUGUUUGCUUUUAAAGCGCUUGUGGCAGCAUUUUGGGUCCACUCCUUUCUAGACUGCCUGUUGCAGGAGCAACAGAUGCAGAUUUGAAGGGCAAGAUGGAUAGAACAGUUGCAUUUCCAUGAAGGGUAGCAAAUUGACUGGAUUAAAAGAGUUGCAUUUCAGCAUUGAUGAAACAUACUUAGAGGCUCGUUUACUAAAUAGUCUCCUUUCUGUAAAAGUGUUCUAUUUUCUGGUUUUUCAUCAUCUAAGUUGCAUAUCCGCAGAUCCGCGUUUGUAUAUUUUGAUUCUUUUCACUACUUUUUCUUCUCAUUAGAUGGGAUUUUAUUUGAGAGAAACAAAUAGGAGAAGACUAGGAUAUCAUGGAAGAUAUGUUAAUUUAUCCCUACAAUUGUAACGUGAACUCAUCAGAGGUUGGAACAGAUUCAAGUCACUAGGUGUUUCACAAUAGCUGCUUCUUAACUAUUGCUGCCGAGACAAGGUCAGUUUGACAUCUUGGUACAUCCCCAGUGGUGGAGUUGCUAUUUGUCUAGAUAGUAUUAUAAUGUAGAAAUCGUAGUGUCAAUUUGUUGAAUUAUAGAAAUGUUCUGUUGUUGGACCGACAGAUACUUUAACCAUAGGCCAUAUACCAUCGGAGCAUAACUUUGAAGCUUCCCAAGUUAUGAUAACCAAAUAGGAUGCCAUUAAAGUCUU
This is a long non-coding RNA of Rhododendron vialii, 4612 nucleotides long. RefSeq lists it as uncharacterized. The record is from RefSeq and is a predicted model, not a curated record. NCBI's taxonomy places the organism in Eukaryota, Viridiplantae, Streptophyta, Magnoliopsida, Ericales, Ericaceae. The transcript has 2 exons.